RNAcentral lists this ribosomal RNA (460 nucleotides) under uncultured bacterium. RNAcentral's name for it is "partial 16S ribosomal RNA". It matches the Rfam family "Bacterial small subunit ribosomal RNA", at positions 338 to 795 of the family's 1533-position model. The record is from RNAcentral.
CCUACGGGCGGCAGCAGUGAGGAAUAUUGGUCAAUGGACGAGAGUCUGAACCAGCCAAGUAGCGUGAAGGAUGACUGCCCUAUGGGUUGUAAACUUCUUUUAUAAAGGAAUAAAACGAGGCACGUGUGCCUUUAUGCUUGUACUUUAUGAAUAAGGAUCGGCUAACUCCGUGCCAGCAGCCGCGGUAAUACGGAGGAUCCGAGCGUUAUCCGGAUUUAUUGGGUUUAAAGGGAGCGUAGAUGGGUUGUUAAGUCAGUUGUGAAAGUUUGCGGCUCAACCGUAAAAUUGCAAUUGAUACUGGCAGUCUUGAGUACAGAUGAGGUAGGCGGAAUUCGUGGUGUAGCGGUGAAAUGCUUAGAUAUAACGAAGAACCCCGAUUGCGAAGGCAGCUUACUAAACUGUGACUGACAUUGAUGCUCGAAAGUAUGGGUAUCAAACAGGAUUAGAUACCCUGGUAGUC